RNAcentral lists this small RNA (579 nucleotides) under Albifimbria verrucaria. RNAcentral's name for it is "eukaryotic LSU rRNA". The stretch from base 207 to 360 matches the Rfam family "5.8S ribosomal RNA". Lineage: Eukaryota; Fungi; Ascomycota; Sordariomycetes; Hypocreales; Stachybotryaceae. The record is from RNAcentral.
AAGAUUAUCAGNGANGCGGUCGCGGCCCUCGGCGGGAGCACAGCUGCCGUCGGGCGGUAGAGGUAACACUUUCACGCGCCGCAUGUCUGAAUCCUUUUUUUACGAGCACCUUUCGUUCUCCUUCGGCGGGGCAACCUGCCGUUGGAACCUAUCAAAACCUUUUUUUUGCAUCUAGCAUUACCUGUUCUGAUACAAACAAUCGUUACAACUUUCAACAAUGGAUCUCUUGGCUCUGGCAUCGAUGAAGAACGCAGCGAAAUGCGAUAAGUAGUGUGAAUUGCAGAAUUCAGUGAAUCAUCGAAUCUUUGAACGCACAUUGCGCCCCUUGGUAUUCCAUGGGGCAUGCCUGUUCGAGCGUCAUCUACACCCUCAAGCUCUGCUUGGUGUUGGGCGUCUGUCCCGCCUCUGCGCGCGGACUCGCCCCAAAUUCAUUGGCAGCGGUCCUUGCCUCCUCUCGCGCAGCACAUUGCGCUUCUCGAGGGGCGCGGCCCGCGUCCACGAAGCAACAUUACCGUCUUUGACCUCGGAUCAGGUAGGGAUACCCGCUGAACUUAAGCAUAUCAAUAGCCGGAAGGAAAA